CCCAAGGCCGGUAUGGGCUCUGUAGUUCCAAGCCAAUUUGGGCUCAUGGGACUCUGUUUCCAACAAAAGAAGUAACAAAAAGGAAUACAAGAAGCUAUAUUUUUUGGGGGGGACACUAUUCAGAGUUUAGAAAGAUACCGUGAAGCGCGGGCAGGCAGGGUUUAGGGAUUGGGCUUCCGGGGCCUGAAGAAGGAAAGAGAAAGCUGCCUGGAGCCGGCCGGGCCGCCUUGUGAUGCAGAUGCAGUCUCUCAGGAAACUGCCACCUGUGCUCCCUUGGGUCGGCGCCAAAUGUCAGACCCCCCACCUCCUUUUCAGAGCAGAGCAGAGAAGUCCCCAGGGCUUUGGCUCAUCGCCUUGCGGAUGCAGAUACUUGCAGAUUUCUUUUACAAAAGGCAGCCUUUCUGAGGCACCCCCUGCCGCCAGCUUUGCAAAGUCUCUGAAUAGGCAACUAGAAAUUCGGUGACCAACGGAGACCUCCGAGCCCACAGUAUUUUGUGUAUGUGCUCAAUGGCGACGACUAGUUAUGGAUACACAGUGGCUGUGACGUCCGCCAGCUCUGAGCUUCAGGAGCCUGGCCCCACAGUCACGUAGACCUUUGCCCAUUGGGGUGGCAAGUACGCGACACUUUCCUGUGAAGCUGAUCUUUAACAGAGAAGCAUCCGUCAGGACUCCGCGGCUCUGUGCUAGGCCAAGCAGGCUAAGGGACUACUGAAUCCGGAGAAGUUAAGUUGGAGACACUCAUCAGUGGUGCUCUGUGACUAUCAACAACCCUCAGUCUGUGACUAAGAAAAAUCCUUGGUACAAGACCAACAACACUCCUUGGUUCGGUUACCAGACAACGACCCCCCCAUUCCCUCCCUAACCGCACCUAAGGAAAAUAAAACCUCACGGCUUGAUUGGAAA
Molecule: long non-coding RNA, 903 nt
Organism: Mesocricetus auratus (golden hamster)
Lineage: Eukaryota; Metazoa; Chordata; Mammalia; Rodentia; Cricetidae
Exons: 3
Source: RefSeq, a predicted model, not a curated record